This 97-nucleotide small nucleolar RNA is filed under the name Brachypodium distachyon (stiff brome). RNAcentral describes it as "snoRNA snoZ103". It matches the Rfam family "Small nucleolar RNA Z103". Rfam says of the family: This family consists of several snoRNA Z103 sequences which are members of the C/D class of snoRNA which contain the C (UGAUGA) and D (CUGA) box motifs. This family seems to be found exclusively in plants. Lineage: Eukaryota; Viridiplantae; Streptophyta; Magnoliopsida; Poales; Poaceae. The record is from Rfam by way of RNAcentral.
GAGGAUAUGAUGAUCCUUUCCCCAGAUGAUCGACAAUGAACAUGCUGAGCGCUAUAAUUUUCUCUUUGGAGAAAACCAAGCCAGGACUCUGAUCCUC